CAUUGCGCACCAGCUGUUAUUGACAAAAAGACACACACCCCCACCCCUCGUCUUACCAGAGGUAGUGUCUCUGUUCUGCCGGUGCAUGGAAAAUGCUGCUAGGUCUAUAUUGUCCAUAUCUUUGUUCAGCCAAGUCUCAGUGAAACAUAAGAUGUAACAGUUUUUUAAUGUCCCGUUGGUAGGAUAAUCUUAACAGUAGGUCAUCAAUUUUAUUUUCCAAUGAUUGCACGUUAGCAAGAAGAACAGAUGGCAGUGGGAGUUUACUCGCUUUUCUGAUGUCCAGAAGUUAUUGUCGAUCAUAAGAGACGGUAGCAGCAACAGUUUCACCACCAUUUAGGUGGUUGUGGAUACACUUUCAAAAUUCUGUUGUUUCAACCUUCUCUCUGGUAUCUCUACUGCUCUCCAGGUCGCUGAGUCACUGUUCCAGCAGAUCUUCCAGCAUUAUUGCCUUCCGGAGGACAUUGUCUCUGACCAAGGCCCCAAAUCCACAUCACAGGUAUGGAGAACCUUUAUGGAGAAGCUUGGGGUCUUGGUCAGCCUCACUUCAGGGUAUAGGCCUCAGUCUAACAGGCAGGUGGAGAGGAUGAACCAGGAGCUGGGGAGGAGUCACUGCCAGGCCCGGCAGGGAGAGUGGGCCCGAUUCCUUCCAUGGGUGGAGUGCACCAAGAAUUUGUUAAGUUACUCCUCCACCGGGCUGACUCCCUUCCAGUGUGUCCUAGGUUUUCAGCCGGCCCUGGCUCCGUGGACCCCGGAACAGACCGAAGCUCCUGUGGUGGUUGAGUGGUUCAGGCGCACAUAAGAAGUGUUGAGCGAGUCUCACAGCAUGCUGUCCACCUUCAGAAGGAGCAGGCAGGCGGCCACCGCAGUGAGACUCCAAUGUUCCAUCCUGGGGAUCGUGUCUGGCUCUCUACCAAGAACCUCCCACUCCGCCUGCCCUGCAAGAAGCUGAGCCCCCAGGCUGGUGGUUCCUGAUCCCCUGGCUAAUGCUGUCCCCUAAGACACCCCACGGCCCCCCUGGACACCAAUGGAGGUCCCGCCUAUGCCGUCAGAUCCCUACUGGACUACCUACGUCGUGGGGGUUGGCUCCAGGACCUGGUGGACUGGGAGGGGUACGGCCCAGAGGAGCGGUGUUGGGUUACAGUGGAACCGCCCGGAAUGGCCGGCCUCUGGCCGGUGUCGUCCUGCGUCUGGAGCCGCGCAUCAGGGGGAGGGUACUGUCAUGUCUAUUUCCGCUCCUCCCCUCCGACAUUCUACGUCGCAGGUUUACUCGCCACCGGCCCUGGCAACCAUCAUUACGUGCACCUGGCAUCAAUCAUUACGCCCACCUGGGCUUCAUCAUGAGGCACACCUGGACUCCAUUACCUCUCUCUUUACCUCCCCUUUAUCUUACACUCUCUUAUGUUCUUUCCCCAGGCAGUAUUGUUUCUCUGAUUCAUGUUAACACACUACUCCUAUCGUUCCAUGUUCUUUGUUAUAUUAAACUUACCACCUGCUUCUAGACUCCCAGUGUCCACAUUACAAGGGUUGGUCACUGUUCUAUCAUGAUUGGACAAUAAAUAAAUAAACUAUCUUUUGUAUAUCCCAUAUCUGCACAAAAUUGAAAGCUCUCUCUGUCACAACUCCAGCUGGCAGAUGCAUAUGGCCUCUGGCAUCUACAACCAUUUUCCUUUUUCACUCACUUAUCUCCACACUUUUCCAAACACAAAAACACACACCACCCCACCUUCCAUCACAUUACACCUGCACAUACCCACAUACUGUGCCAUCUAUGUCCUCUGUUUGCUGUGUUUGAUUCCUACCUAAUAUCUGGCUUUUGUGUACUUUUGUUUUCCUUAUAUUUUGAAGAUGUAUUAUAUAAAUAAUCAAUAUUUUGCCUAAUGCUGUCUUAUCUGUUGAUUAACACUAUAAAUAGGAAGUUGAAUACUAAUUAUUUUACAACAUUCCCUAUCUUGAAUGGUAUAGUCUAUUUGUAGUUUAUUUCUUUAUCGAUUGUUGUAUUUUAUUGUUUUCCUAGUUUCUUUCUAUUACAAUCCCUACCAUGGAUAGUAUUGGGUGUUCCAUUAUUCAAAUCCUCUAUGGGAACUUGUAAUAUUUAAAAUAGCCAUGGAGUAGUCUUGGUGUCUCGGAACAAUUGGUUAUCAAUAUACAGUUUAUCGACUAUAAGAGCUACACGUUUCCCUUUAAUCUAUUCACCUUGAAGAGUGGUUCAGAUCUUUGUACCGUUCUGUAAUUUCCUUCGGGAACUGAUCAUUCAUGCCUAUUUUUGUGCCAGCGAAUCUUUUACCCAGGCUUUUUAAUCAUUAGUUUGUCUUCAAUGAAUGCAAAUUUGGCAACGAUUGGGCGCUCAUAUAUCUGUCCUCUUUCUGAAAUGUUAGAGUUUAAUUUUGUCAACAGUAUCACCUGAGAUCUGUAGCGCUAUAAGAAAGAAUUCUUUCACCACAUGUUCUGGAUCUUCACCCAAUCUUUAUUUGAUACCAGUAAGUACUAGAUUUUCUCUCAUAUAUGUAGUCUGUGUUUCAAGUAAGGCUUCUCUCAGAAACGUGUUCUCCUUUCUAAGUUCUUUAACCUCUCUGGGCAACCCGACGCGCUAGCGUCCCACCUUGCCAACAAUAAAUGCAAAUGCGCUACACCAAAUGCUAAUAGCACUCGUUAAAACUCAAACGUUCAUUAAAAUGCACAUACAGGGUACUCAAUUCAAGCUACACUCGUUGUGAAUCUAGCCAACAGGUCAGAUUUGUAAAAUGCUUUUCGGCGAAAGCAUGAGUAGCUAUUAUCUGAUAGCAGGUAAAACACGCCGAAAUACCAGAAGGGGACGCAAACAAAGGAAUUAGCAUAGCCGGCGCUACACAAAACGCAGAAAUAAAAUAUAAAACAUUCAUUACCAUUGACGAGAUUCUUUGUUGGCACUCCUAUAUGUCCCAUAAACAUCACUAUUGGGUCUUUUUUUCGAUUAAAUCGGUCCAUAUAUACACUAAAUAUCGAUCUAUGAAAAGUGUGUGAUCCAGGAAAAAACAGUGUUUUAAAACGCAACGUCAUUUUUUUUAAUUAAAAAAGUUGAACUCAUGGUCGAAAAUUUCUCCUCCAAAACAUCCUGUCGGAGACCGGAAGGAAUGGGCUCUCUCUUACUCGUUUGACCAAGAAACAAAGCCCAGGCAAUUGACAAGACUGGCGACAUCGUGUGGAAGCUGUAGGACUUGCAAUCUCAGCCCCAUGUAAUUUGGUUUCCCAUAAACAAUACAUGCAAGUGGCACAUUGAUACUUUUUCCAGUUUUCAGUGAUCAGUUUUUCUUGCGCUUUUCGAUGAAACACAGGCUCUGUUAUAGUCACAGCCAUGAUUUAACCAGUUUUAGAAACGUCAGAGUGUUUUCUAUCCACACAUACUAAUCAUAUGCAUAUACUAUAUUCCUGGCAUGAGUAGCAGGACGCUGAAAUGUUGCACGAUUUUUAACAGAAUGUUCGAAAAAGUAGGGGGUAGGCUUAACAGGUUUUAACGUCUGUUUCAAUUGCAUUGAGUGUACGUUUUAGCUUGUUUCUUUCUCCGUUGUCACAGCUUUUUCGUCAAUCAUCUCGAGGCUCGCCUUCAACUCCUUUAUAUCUUUACUGACUUGUUCAAGUAUGAUCAGUUUAUAAUUUGACAACUUUAGCAAGUCAGUUUCCACGCAUACCAUUCCCGGUGGUGAAAAGAAGACAUUGUCUGUGUCCGUUGAGGAGUCACGUUUUCUUUUGGGGAUUGGUUCUCCAUGCUUACUUUCUGACAUGUUUUGGUGUUAAUUGUAUUGAUGAUAUUGGUCGAUACAUUUCUCUAGCCUCAUAAUUUGUUUUGUGUUGUUAUCCAGAUUGAAAUCUAUUGCCCGCGAGUAUAUGGAGUGAAGUGCUAAUAUUUAGUCAAACUUGCAAAUAUUGAAAAUUACAUUUUAAUCUUGAGGCAUUCCCCACCGCUGUAGUCAGUCCACCGUGACACCUCCCCUCCCUAUUCUUUCCCUAUUCAUUUUCUCCAUAGGAAUGGCUAAAUGAACCAGAGGUAACUCACUUCCGUUUUUUAGGACUACAAGCUGGUGAGCUAUAUAGCCUCUCCCAUCCACUGGUUAGUAUGGGUUAUGCUAGCUUUGCUAAGCUGCCAUGAACUUCGUGAAAAGUGAAAUGUGUUUUUAUAUCGUGAUAUCCAGAUCCUGUACAGUACUACAGUUUCUGAAAGCAUUUCACCAAGACACUGUGUAUGUGUGUCUUUCUAGGUAUGUCAUUCAUGUAUUUGAAUGUAUAUUUUCAUUAUGAAUGUAUUCUGUCAGCUAGUGGACUAAACUCCACUCAAUGGUGAAGGAAGUUUAUGAGGAACUUCACCAACGCCGUGGAACCGAGACCAGGCUUUUUCAACAAACUUUAAUCAAAUACAACCACCGACUGUUUCCUAUUUGAGAGUUGCCAUCUUAAAGUAAACAGUUGGUGGUUUCAUUUGAUUAAGGUUUAUUUAAAAUGUAUGGAUUUCAAGCAAACAAAGAAAUGCAUGCAACUACAGAGGAUAUAGGUACAAGUUGGGCAUUUCAUAAUUCACAUUUUUUUAAGUUUUGACCUUGGGCGAAUCGAUGUAGUCGGAGCAAAAUUCCACAAAGCCUGGUCUCGGCUCCACAUGGUUGGGGAAGUUUAUCAGGAACUUCCUUCACCAUGGAGUGGAGUAAAGUCCACUAUCUCUCAGCAAGCUAUUAGCUAGCUUUCUGUAAACCUAGAAUGUCGCAAUGACACUGUCAUUUUGUUUGUGUAGAAGUGUUUGCAUUCAGGUUCACUUAUAGAAUGCAGGUUAUUCUCAGAAAAUAUCAAAUGUCUCUCUCUUGUUAUUGUGGAAAAUUGUGAACUAAUUAGAAGCUGCGCUAUGGAGAGCUGGCACAAAUACCAUGUAAUUACCAUAUAACCGUGUAAACUUCAUGAAAGUUAGAUUUUUAUAGAAAUGUAUUUGAAUUUGGCACUCUGCAUUUUCUCUGGCUUUUGGCCAAGAGGGACGCUACCGUCCCACAUAUUCCACAUGUAGGCGGUAUGCAAAAUGUCCAACUUGGCCAAUUGCCAGGGAAAAUGCAGAGCGCCAAAUUCAAAUACCUCACACAAGUACUUGGGAGUAUGGCUUGUCAAUACACGCUCCUUCUAUCAGCACAUAUCAAAGCUGCAGGCUAAAGUUACAUCUAGACUUGGUUUCCUCUAAAGUAAUCGCUCCUCUUUACCAACUGCCAAAUUAACUGUCACAUUCGUAAUAAUGACGGGACCAAGGUGCAGCGUGCGUUGAGUUCCACAUCUUUAUUUGCAGUGAAACUUUUAAAAAAAUAAACAAGCAACGAAACCUAACCUCAGUGGUGCUACAAGCACAAACACAAAUAAUAUCCCAAAAACACAGGUGGGACAAAUGGCUACCUAAGUAUGAUCCCCAACUAGAGGCAAUGAUUACCAGCUGCCUCUAAUUGGGAACCAUACAAAACACCAACAUAGAAAUAUUGAACACCCCCUAGUCACGCCCUGACCUACUACACCAUAGAGAACCAAGGGCUCUCUAAGGGCUCUCUAUGGUCAGGGCGUGACACUAACCCUGAUUCAGAUGAUCAUCCUACCCAUGGUAGAUUACAGAGACAUCAUUUAUAGAUUGGGCCUCACUCCCCCAAUUCUGAGAUAUCUACUGCAGCCCUCUUCUUCUACAUACAACACCUGUUCUGCCAGUCACAUUCUGUUAAAGGUCCCCAAAGCACACACAUCCUUGGGUCGCUCCUCUUUUCAGUUUGCUGUAGCUAUCGACUGGAACGAGCUGCAACAAACAAUCGAACUGGACAGUUUUAUCUCAUUCUCUUCAUUCAAAGACUCAAUCGUGAACACUCUUACUGACAGUUCUGGCUGCUGUGCUGUUGUCUGUGCCAAAUAAUAUUUGUACCAUGUUUUGCGCUGCUACCACGUUGUUGUCAUGUUGUGUCGCUACCAUGCUGUGUUGUCAUGUGUUGCUCCCUUGAUAUGUUCGGUCACUCUUUAUGUAGUGUUGUCUCUUGUCGUGAUGUGACCUAUAUUUAUAUUUUAUGUUGUUUAAAUAAAGAUCCUGCCUGUA
This is a long non-coding RNA of Oncorhynchus masou masou (cherry salmon), 6070 nucleotides long. RefSeq lists it as uncharacterized. Lineage: Eukaryota; Metazoa; Chordata; Actinopteri; Salmoniformes; Salmonidae. The record is from RefSeq and is a predicted model, not a curated record. The transcript is spliced from 2 exons.